CGUAGGCGGUCGCGUGCGUCGGAGGUGAAAUCCCCGGGCUUAACCCGGGACCUGCCUCUGAUACGGCGCGGCUUGAGUCCGGGAGAGGGGAGCAGAAUUCCCAGUGUAGCGGUGAAAUGCGUAGAUAUUGGGAGGAAUACCGGUGGCGAAGGCGGCUCCCUGGACCGGUACUGACGCUGAGGCGCGAAAGCGUGGGGAGCAAACAGGAUUAGAUACCCUGGUAGUCCACGCCGUAAACGAUGGGUGCUUGGUGUCGGGGGUAUCGACCCCUCCGGUGCCGAAGCUAACGCAUUAAGCACCCCGCCUGGGGAGUACGGUCGCAAGGCUGAA
RNAcentral lists this ribosomal RNA (330 nucleotides) under uncultured bacterium. RNAcentral's name for it is "bacterial SSU rRNA". It matches the Rfam family "Bacterial small subunit ribosomal RNA", at positions 570 to 898 of the family's 1533-position model. The record is from RNAcentral.